UUUCUUUUCCUAAUAUUUCCCUGUCUGGUAGGGAAUAAAAUCAGAUUUUUAGUAAAUUUUGAUAAAAGUUGAUAAAACAUGUAGUUGAAUUUGAAAAUUUGUGGUUCCUCUUAAAUAUGUGGUUAAAAUAAAGGGUGUGUUUGAGCCCAUUUAAUUUUGAAAAAUGUAAUAUGGAAUAGUAGAUUGAUGGAGAAUGUGUGAUUAAAAAAGUAUGAAAAGUUUUUGAUUUGCUUGUAAUAUUAUUUUUAAUAAAGAAUGUGUGAUUGAAAAUAAAUACUACAGAAACAAUAAUUGAUAGAAUAUAAAAUAAUGGGUAACAAACAGGGGCUAAUUGCUUUGACUUAUAUUAAAAUUUGGAUUUUAAUUUCUAACAAAUAGGGGCAUUGUGUCGUGCCAUUUUUAUCCAGCUGUAUCUAUACAAAGCUAUGGUAAUUUUAUGCUAGUGUUUACAAUAACUUGAUUUCGAGUGUACAACAUUCCAUUUAGCAAUUCCAUUAGCCGGACACAAUAUGCCUAUUAUAGCAUAGGAAAAAUAAUCAUCUAGAAUAUAUUAAUGCAAUAGAUGCAAAGCAUCAUAUAUAGAUCAAAUGAUAAAAUGGGAGGGGAUUCCACAAUGAGAAACUAAAGAACAAUUAUGAUUAGCAAUAUAAAAAACAAGAGAUUUUUUAUCCAUAAGCUUAAGAAAUAAUAUGACAUAAUGCUCAAGGACACAUCAAGAAAAACAUAUAUUUAUAAGGAUCUCACUAAAUAUAAACGUUCAAGGAUCUCACAACAGCACCCUAUAGAUAUCAAAAAAGGCAAAAUGUGACAAAUUUUUAAAACAUAGAAACAAAACCCGAUUGGAGACUUUAACUUGGCCAGCAAGAACGUGUCGCAACAAAGAAAAACAAUGAACUUGACUCAAUUCAGCUUCAGUAAAAGAAACCUCAAGAGGCUACCUAUUUAACUUCAUUGGAUAUAGUAGGCAUCAAGCAUUAAAGGUUUAUGUUUCAGAAAAGGGCAUGACAUCCAAAGGAAAUAUAAGAUGAUAUCAAAGGAUAGCACGACUAAAGUCAGUCAAAAGCAAAUUGACUAGAGCUAUAAUACAGUUGGCAUUAUCUGGUUCCAGAUGCUUUAAGUAACACGGAAUUGACUAGCUAAUGGUCAACUGUCUGAAGACUAAAUUUAGGAAACUGAUAUAGUUGGAGAAGUUAAUACUCAUUCUAAGGACUGUGUCACAGACAACAGGAAGUCUCAGAAUUUCUUCUAUAGAGCUGUUUCAUUUCUGUCAGCAGAUGCAAUGACAAAGUUAACACAGACAAGUUCAUAUGGUUUAGGUCCUGUUAUGGCUUAGCAAAUGCAUAAGCAGCAUGAAUAUAGAAAAUUGAGAAAGGGUGGAGAAAUCGCCAAAAUGUCUUUUAAGUGAGAAAGUGAAAUUGGUAAAGUUACUUUUGCAUACGAAUACUCAGCGGUAGUGGUUGGCUUUGUUUGGGGGGUCAAUGUUCUUCUACAAUGAGGGAAAUGUCCUCUCAUGGGGCACUAUUCACGUGUUGAAGGGUGAAGUACAAUAAUGUAGUAAUUGAAAUUGUGGUGCUAAACAUUUAUGCACGAAAUGAUUUGGCCAUAAUAGGGGAAGAAUUGAAUAAGAAGUGUAUCCCAUUCUCAGCUUUUUCUGAGCAAUACACAUAUUAGAGAGAAAUAGUGGAGAGGUGGAUAAAAAUUAAAGAGAGAAACUAUUGAUUUCUACUUAGUUUCUCCUAUGACAAGAAAGAUUUGCCAUUGUUAUUUCCUGGUAUAUAGAGAGAUGUUAUAAUUCUCCAACAUAAUAGAAUCAUUCUAUACUUCCUUGUAGUUUUUAUCCAAUUGGGAGUUUUCACAUAAAAUCCUUGUGUUCCUCAUAUCUCCAAUUUUUUCUUGAAUAUCACUUCAGUUGCAUUCUAGUGGCCACUUUCAAUUUCCUGAUGAAGUAAAACGAGAACACUUUCUAAGAUCAGGUCAGCUGAAUAAUUUUGAUUUUUAAUUAAAAAAAAAAAA
Molecule: long non-coding RNA, 2013 nt
Filed under: Olea europaea (common olive)
Lineage: Eukaryota; Viridiplantae; Streptophyta; Magnoliopsida; Lamiales; Oleaceae
Description: long non-coding RNA (OEUR_LNC010629)
Source: RNAcentral